GGGGGGCCUAAAUGCAAGUCGAACGAUGAAGCUUCUAGCUUGCUAGAAGUGGAUUAGUGGCGCACGGGUGAGUAAUGCACAUGUUAUGUGCCCUUCAGUCUGGGAUAGCCACUGGAAACGGUGAUUAAUACUGGAUACUCCCUACGGGGGAAAGGGGCUUUCAAUAAAGAAUUUCUCUUUUUAGUGUUUUGUGUUGUUGGCACAAAAUUCUAGUAUUUGGAAUGAGAAAUUGAUGUUGUGAAGCAAUUUGUGCGGAGACUAGACUUAGUGUCUGUCGCACAAGCAAAUUGCGAACUCAUCGAUUUAUCGUCCAAAGACGAAUUUUUUAUUGAAAGCCUUCGCUAAAGGAUCAGCCUAUGUCCUAUCAGCUUGUUGGUGAGGUAAUGGCUCACCAAGGCUAUGACGGGUAUCCGGCCUGAGAGGGUGAUCGGACACACUGGAACUGAGACACGGUCCAGACUCCUACGGGAGGCAGCAGUAGGGAAUAUUGCUCAAUGGGGGAAACCCUGAAGCAGCAACGCCGCGUGGAGGAUGAAGGUUUUAGGAUUGUAAACUCCUUUUGUAAGAGAAGAUUAUGACGGUAUCUUACGAAUAAGCACCGGCUAACUCCGUGCCAGCAGCCGCGGUAAUACGGAGGGUGCAAGCGUUACUCGGAAUCACUGGGCGUAAAGAGCGCGUAGGCGGGUGGUCAAGUCAGAUGUGAAAUCCUGUAGCUUAACUACAGAACUGCAUUUGAAACUGAUCAUCUAG
This 750-nucleotide ribosomal RNA is filed under the name uncultured bacterium. RNAcentral describes it as "bacterial SSU rRNA". It matches the Rfam family "Bacterial small subunit ribosomal RNA", at positions 41 to 644 of the family's 1533-position model. The record is from RNAcentral.